RNAcentral lists this ribosomal RNA (1171 nucleotides) under Listeria monocytogenes. RNAcentral describes it as "partial 23S ribosomal RNA". It matches the Rfam family "Bacterial large subunit ribosomal RNA", at positions 1 to 1164 of the family's 2925-position model. The record is from RNAcentral. Lineage: Bacteria; Bacillati; Bacillota; Bacilli; Caryophanales; Listeriaceae.
UUGGUUAAGUUAGAAAGGGCGCACGGUGGAUGCCUUGGCACUAGGAGCCGAAGAAGGACGGGACUAACACCGAUAUGCUUUGGGGAGCUGUACGUAAGCGUUGAUCCAGAGAUUUCCGAAUGGGGGAACCCACUAUCUUUAGUCGGAUAGUAUCCUUACGUGAAUACAUAGCGUGAGGAAGGCAGACCCAGGGAACUGAAACAUCUAAGUACCUGGAGGAAGAGAAAGAAAAAUCGAUUUCCUGAGUAGCGGCGAGCGAAACGGAAAGAGCCCAAACCAAGAAGCUUGCUUCUUGGGGUUGUAGGACACUCUAUACGGAGUUACAAAAGAAAGUUAUAAAUGAAGCGGUCUGGAAAGGCCCGCCAAAGACGGUAACAGCCCGGUAGUUGAAAUGGCUUUCCCUCCAGAGUGGAUCCUGAGUACGGCGGAACACGUGAAAUUCCGUCGGAAUCCGGGAGGACCAUCUCCCAAGGCUAAAUACUCCCUAGUGACCGAUAGUGAACCAGUACCGUGAGGGAAAGGUGAAAAGCACCCCGGAAGGGGAGUGAAACAGUUCCUGAAACCGUGUGCCUACAAGUAGUUAGAGCCCGUUAAUGGGUGAUAGCGUGCCUUUUGUAGAAUGAACCGGCGAGUUACGAUUUGUUGCAAGGUUAAGCGGAAAAAGCGGAGCCGUAGCGAAAGCGAGUCUGAAUAGGGCGCAUAAGUAACAGGUCGUAGACCCGAAACCAGGUGAUCUACCCAUGUCCAGGAUGAAGGUAAGGUAAUACUUACUGGAGGUCCGAACCCACGCACGUUGAAAAGUGCGGGGAUGAGGUGUGGGUAGCGGAGAAAUUCCAAUCGAACUUGGAGAUAGCUGGUUCUCUCCGAAAUAGCUUUAGGGCUAGCCUCGAGGUAAAGAGUCAUGGAGGUAGAGCACUGUUUGGACUAGGGGCCCUUCUCGGGUUACCGAAUUCAGAUAAACUCCGAAUGCCAUGUACUUAUACUCGGGAGUCAGACUGCGAGUGAUAAGAUCCGUAGUCGAAAGGGAAACAGCCCAGACCACCAGUUAAGGUCCCCAAAUAUAUGUUAAGUGGAAAAGGAUGUGGGGUUGCUUAGACAACCAGGAUGUUGGCUUAGAAGCAGCCACCAUUGAAAGAGUGCGUAAUAGCUCACUGGUCGAGUGACCCCGCGC